GAGGUGGAAGAGGGAAGGAAAAAUAAAAUAUAUAAAAAAAAGUGAAAUGAGUGGUGUCUCACCUUCCCGCACUCACUGUGUGUGUGUGUGUGUGUGUCUUUUUUUAUUUUUUUUUUGUGUGUGUGUUUCACCUCUUCAAUACACAGCAUUGAAAAGGAAAGGAGAAAAUGAGAAACAGCAGCUGUGAUACACGUACUAUAAAAACUAAUGUCUACGUGUGUCAAUGUCG
RNAcentral lists this non-coding RNA (229 nucleotides) under Platyophrya macrostoma. The record is from RNAcentral. Lineage: Eukaryota; Ciliophora; Colpodea; Cyrtolophosidida; Platyophryidae.